RNAcentral lists this ribosomal RNA (561 nucleotides) under Rhizobium sp. EECC-55. Its description in RNAcentral is "bacterial SSU rRNA". It matches the Rfam family "Bacterial small subunit ribosomal RNA", at positions 98 to 695 of the family's 1533-position model. Lineage: Bacteria; Pseudomonadati; Pseudomonadota; Alphaproteobacteria; Hyphomicrobiales; Rhizobiaceae. The record is from RNAcentral.
GCAGACGGGUGAGUACGCGUGGGAACAUACCCUUUCCUGCGGAAUAGCUCCGGGAAACUGGAAUUAAUACCGCAUACGCCCUACGGGGGAAAGAUUUAUCGGGGAAGGAUUGGCCCGCGUUGGAUUAGCUAGUUGGUGGGGUAAAGGCCUACCAAGGCGACGAUCCAUAGCUGGUCUGAGAGGAUGAUCAGCCACAUUGGGACUGAGACACGGCCCAAACUCCUACGGGAGGCAGCAGUGGGGAAUAUUGGACAAUGGGCGCAAGCCUGAUCCAGCCAUGCCGCGUGAGUGAUGAAGGCCUUAGGGUUGUAAAGCUCUUUCACCGGAGAAGAUAAUGACGGUAUCCGGAGAAGAAGCCCCGGCUAACUUCGUGCCAGCAGCCGCGGUAAUACGAAGGGGGCUAGCGUUGUUCGGAAUUACUGGGCGUAAAGCGCACGUAGGCGGAUAUUUAAGUCAGGGGUGAAAUCCCAGAGCUCAACUCUGGAACUGCCUUUGAUACUGGGUAUCUUGAGUAUGGAAGAGGUAAGUGGAAUUCCGAGUGUAGAGGUGAAAUUCGUAGAU